CCUACGGGAGGCUGCAGUGGGGAAUAUUGGACAAUGGGGGGAACCCUGAUCCAGCCAUGCCGCGUGUGUGAAGAAGGCCCUCGGGUUGUAAAGCACUUUCAGUGAGGAAGAACGCCUGGUGGUUAAUACCCAUCAGGAAAGACAUCACUCACAGAAGAAGCACCGGCUAACUCCGUGCCAGCAGCCGCGGUAAUACGGAGGGUGCGAGCGUUAAUCGGAAUUACUGGGCGUAAAGCGCGCGUAGGUGGCUUGAUAAGCCGGUUGUGAAAGCCCCGGGCUCAACCUGGGAACGGCAUCCGGAACUGUCAAGCUAGAGUGCAGGAGAGGAAGGUAGAAUUCCCGGUGUAGCGGUGAAAUGCGUAGAGAUCGGGAGGAAUACCAGUGGCGAAGGCGGCCUUCUGGACUGACACUGACACUGAGGUGCGAAAGCGUGGGUAGCAAACAGGAUUAGAUAUCCUUGUAGUC
Molecule: ribosomal RNA, 465 nt
Filed under: Vreelandella stevensii
Lineage: Bacteria; Pseudomonadati; Pseudomonadota; Gammaproteobacteria; Oceanospirillales; Halomonadaceae
Description: partial 16S ribosomal RNA
Rfam family: Bacterial small subunit ribosomal RNA
Source: RNAcentral